RNAcentral lists this long non-coding RNA (1384 nucleotides) under Nicotiana benthamiana. RNAcentral describes it as "long non-coding RNA (NBEN_LNC022615)". Lineage: Eukaryota; Viridiplantae; Streptophyta; Magnoliopsida; Solanales; Solanaceae. The record is from RNAcentral.
CGUCCUGCCGCGAGUCUGGACGAGAGUCACCGGGAGUGCUGUGGCUUACCGGAAAUCCUCGCCGGUAUAAUAGUCACCUGUCCAAGAAAACAGAACACACCCACACACACCAACAAAAAAGCAGAGGAGAGAAUAGAAAGAAAAGAGCAGGAGUUACCGAAAAAAUUUCCGGCGAGAAGCAAGAAUUCAAAACCUCUAAACAGCAAUAUGGACAACCCAAUUUUUCUUUAUAUCGGGAGAAGAUCAACCCAAUUUUUCUUUCAAAAAACAUGAGAAAUCAAGGGAGAAACAAAACAAAAUUAAGAUAUAAUAACGAUUAAUUUUACAAAAAGAACUCGGAAUUGAACACAUCUACAGAAAAUAGAAGAGAUCUGGAAACCUAAAAUCGAAAUUUGAUUUUCAAAACGGCUAUAGCCGAAUUAAGUAUAGAUGAAGCAGCAGUAACUUUGAUUUAAAAAAAGAACUCUUGCGGUUGCUAUCACUGAGUGAUUGAAUGGAUCGAUGAAAAUUAGGGUAUUUGAGAAACUGUAGAUAGUGGGUUGGAAUUUAAUCACAAAUCAGACAAAUAAAGAAUGCAAAAUUAACUAGUAGUAAACUAGUAGAAUGAAUCUUUGUUAUUAAGGUUAAGAGAUUGUUCAAUUUUACAUGAACAUCUUAUUAUGAGUUUAACUAAGACACAUAGAAAUGGAUUAUAAAGAAAAAGCACGCAACAGAAUAAAGUUACCAAAUUCCGUUAGCGGCAGAGUGAUUAUGAGCAGCUUAAUUAGCGGCAGAGAAGACGAACUUUAGCGAUCUGGUAAACAAAAUCUUUUGAAAAACUGUUGUUCGAUACACCAAGGAAACAACCUCCUGUGGAAAGAACGAAAGAGAAGCGAACGGCGAAGUCGCCGGAGACGUGCGGUGGCGCAAUGGCGAAACCCUAAUUCGACUGUUUGAAGUUAUAAAAGAAAUUGAAGAAACAAAAGAAGAAUUGUAGCAGGGAAAGAAAAGAGGAAGCGUCUUUGCUGUUAAAAUUGCUGUUCUAUUGGGAAAAGAUCAGAUUUUUCCAAGAAGAGGAUUAGACUCCCCCCCACCUUUCCUCCGCUAUCUCGCUUCUAGUAAACCCUAAUUUUUUAUCCAAUUUGUCUUUGUCUCGGAGAUCGCCAAAUCGCCAUAGCCGGCGACCCCCUCUCCACUCUUAAUCUCUCACUUCCUUCUCCUCUUCUCGGCAAUUCUUCGAUAAAACUGUCAAGAAUUUCGCUAAUCUUCGCCGUGCCUUUGAUAUAUGCGGAUCAAUUCACCUAGGUACUCUCUAUUUCUCGCUCCCUUUUGCUUAUGUACGUAUCUCGUAUAUUAGAAUCAAUUGAAUCUGGGUUUUGGACACAGUUUAUGCAUUGAAUAGGAC